AAGCUCGUAGUUGAAUUUCGGGACUAGUACGUUGGUCGUGCCUUAGGUACGUACUGGUGUUACUGGUUCCUACCUUCUGACGAACCAUUAUGUCAUUAAUUUGGUGUGGUGGGGAAUCAGGACUGUUACUUUGAAAAAAUUAGAGUGUUUAAAGCAGGCUCGCGCUUGAAUACAUUAGCAUGGAUAAUGAAAUAGGACGUUGAUCCUAUUUUGUUGGUUUCUAGGAUUGACGUAAUGAUUAAUAGGGAUAGUUGGG
RNAcentral lists this ribosomal RNA (256 nucleotides) under uncultured Glomus. RNAcentral describes it as "partial 18S ribosomal RNA". It matches the Rfam family "Eukaryotic small subunit ribosomal RNA", at positions 624 to 886 of the family's 1831-position model. Lineage: Eukaryota; Fungi; Glomeromycota; Glomeromycetes; Glomerales; Glomeraceae. The record is from RNAcentral.